CUGAAUUGUCAACAUGAGUUGUUGCUGGUCCUCAAACUGAGGGCAUGUGCACACUCUGUUUACACAUCCACUCACACCUGUGCACUCUCUCUGUAGUUCUGUAGCUUGGGGGCUUCUGUUCCCUUGCCGUAGUUCUGCACCUUUACACACACACUGUAAUAAAGUCUCAUGGAAUGUAUGCCGCGUUUAACGCAAUAUAAUA
Molecule: unclassified non-coding RNA, 202 nt
Filed under: uncultured Tomentella
Lineage: Eukaryota; Fungi; Basidiomycota; Agaricomycetes; Thelephorales; Thelephoraceae
Description: sequence contains ITS1
Source: RNAcentral